CUCCCGGCACGGGGAGGUAGUGACGAAAAAUAACGAUACGGGACUCAUCCGAGGCCCCGUAAUCGGAAUGAGUACGCUCUAAACACGUUUCCGAAAAUCAAUUGGAGGGUAAGUCUGGUGCCAGCAGCCGCGGUAAUUCCAGCUCCAAUAGCGUAUAUUAAAGUUGUUGCGGUUAAAAAGCUCGUAGUCGAAUCUGUGUCCCGCGCCGCUGGUUCAUCGCUCGCGGUGUUCAACUGGCGUGUCUCGCGGGACGUCCUGCCGGUGGGCUUGCGUAUCGUUUCGGCGGUGCGUGGCCCAACUCGUUUUCGCCUUGCGCGCAUUCGAAUCCCAUCGCGGUGCUCUUUAUUGAGUGUCGAGGUGGGCCGGCACGUUUACUUUGAACAAAUUAGAGUGCUUAAAGCAGGCCAAUUUUGCCUGAAUAUUCUGUGCAUGGAAUAAUGGAAUAGGACCUCGGUUCUAUUUUGUUGGUUUUCGGAACCCCGAGGUAAUGAUUAAUAGGAACGGAUGGGGGCAUUCGUAUUGCGACGUUAGAGGUGAAAUUCUUGGAUCGUCGCAAGACGGACAGAAGCGAAAGCAUUUGCCAAAAACGUUUUCAUUGAUCAAGAACGAAAGUUAGAGGUUCGAAGGCGAUCAGAUACCGCCCUAGUUCUAACCAUAAACGAUGCCAGCUAGCGAUCCGCCGACGUUCCUCCGAUGACUCGGCGGGCAGCUUCCGGGAAACCAAAGCUUUUGGGUUCCGGGGGAAGUAUGGUUGCAAAGCUGAAACUUAAAGGAAUUGACGGAAGGGCACCACCAGGAGUGGAGCCUGCGGCUUAAUUUGACUCAACACGGGAAACCUCACCAGGCCCGGACACCGGAAGGAUUGACAGAUUGAGAGCUCUUUCUUGAUUCGGUGGGUGGUGGUGCAUGGCCGU
RNAcentral lists this ribosomal RNA (914 nucleotides) under Orphnebius sp. 4 HE-2012. Its description in RNAcentral is "SSU rRNA". It matches the Rfam family "Eukaryotic small subunit ribosomal RNA", at positions 448 to 1291 of the family's 1831-position model. The record is from RNAcentral. Lineage: Eukaryota; Metazoa; Arthropoda; Insecta; Coleoptera; Staphylinidae.